RNAcentral lists this ribosomal RNA (470 nucleotides) under uncultured bacterium. RNAcentral describes it as "bacterial SSU rRNA". It matches the Rfam family "Bacterial small subunit ribosomal RNA", at positions 329 to 793 of the family's 1533-position model. The record is from RNAcentral.
GCAGAGCAUCCUACGGGAGGCAGCAGUGGGGAAUAUUGCACAAUGGGCGCAAGCCUGAUGCAGCCAUGCCGCGUGUAUGAAGAAGGCCUUCGGGUUGUAAAGUACUUUCAGCAGUGAGGAAGGUGGGUAUGUUAAUAGCAUACUCAUUUGACGUUAGCUGCAGAAGAAGCACCGGCUAACUCCGUGCCAGCAGCCGCGGUAAUACGGAGGGUGCGAGCGUUAAUCGGAAUUACUGGGCGUAAAGCGCAUGCAGGUGGUUGUUAAGUCAGAUGUGAAAGCCCGGGGCUCAACCUCGGAAUUGCAUUUGAAACUGGCAAACUAGAGUACUGUAGAGGGGGUAGAAUUUCAGGUGUAGCGGUGAAAUGCGUAGAGAUCUGAAGGAAUACCGGUGGCGAAGGCGGCCCCCUGGACAGAUACUGACACUCAGAUGCGAAAGCGUGGGGAGCAAACAGGAUUAGAUACCCUGGUAG